Molecule: ribosomal RNA, 4044 nt
Filed under: Metschnikowia reukaufii
Lineage: Eukaryota; Fungi; Ascomycota; Pichiomycetes; Serinales; Metschnikowiaceae
Description: eukaryotic LSU rRNA
Rfam family: Eukaryotic large subunit ribosomal RNA (bases 2032-4044)
Source: RNAcentral
UCAAAGAUUAAGCCAUGCAUGUCUAAGUAUAAACAAUCUAUACAGUGAAACUGCGAAUGGCUCAUUAAAUCAGUUAUCGUUUAUUUGAUAGUACCUUGCUAAUUGGCAUACGCCUGGCAAUUCUAGAGCUAAUACAUGCAUUCAAGCCCAACCUCUGGAAGGGCUGUAUUUAUUAGAUAAAAAAUCAACAUCAUAGAAGAUUCAUAAUAACUUGUCGAAUCGCAUGGCCUCGGGCCGGCGAUGGUUCAUUCAAAUUUCUGCCCUAUCAACUUUCGAUGGUAGGAUAGAGGCCUACCAUGGUUUCAACGGGUAACGGGGAAUAAGGGUUCGGUUCCGGAGAGGGAGCCUGAGAAACGGCUACCACAUCCAAGGAAGGCAGCAGGCGCGCAAAUUACCCAAUCCCGACACGGGGAGGUAGUGACAAUAAAUAACGAUACAGGGCCCUUUUGGGUCUUGUAAUUGGAAUGAGUACAAUGUAAAUACCUUAACGAGGAACAAUUGGAGGGCAAGUCUGGUGCCAGCAGCCGCGGUAAUUCCAGCUCCAAGAGCGUAUAUUAAAGUUGUUGCAGUUAAAAAGCUCGUAGUUGAAUUUUGGGGUGGCCCCAGGAGGUCCACUUAUUUGUGAGUACUUUUUGGGACUGCCCUUCCAUGGCAACCUCUUCUAGAGGGGGCCAUAAUUACUUUGAGUAAAUGAGAGUGUUCAAAGCAGGCAAGCGCUUGAAUCUUUUAGCAUGGAAUAAUAAAAUAGGACGAUGAUUCUAUUUUGUUGGUUUCUAGGACCAUCGUAAUGAUUAAUAGGGACGGUCGGGGGCAUUAGUAUUCAGUUGUAAGAGGUGAAAUUCUUAGAUUUUCUGAAGACUAACUACUGCGAAAGCAUUUGUCAAGGACGUUUUCAUUAAUCAAGAACGAAAGUUAGGGGAUCGAAGAUGAUCAGAUACCGUCGUAGUCUUAACCAUAAACUAUGCCGACUAGGGAUUGGGCGACGCCUCAUGUAUAUGACGCGCCCAGCACCUUACGAGAAAUCAAAGUUUUUGGGUUCUGGGGGGAGUAUGGUCGCAAGGCUGAAACUUAAAGGAAUUGACGGAAGGGCACCACCAGGAGUGGAGCCUGCGGCUUAAUUUGACUCAACACGGGGAAACUCACCAGGUCCAGACACAAUAAGGAUUGACAGAUUGAGAGCUCUUUCUUGAUUUUGUGGGUGGUGGUGCAUGGCCGUUCUUAGUUGGUGGAGUGAUUUGUCUGCUUAAUUGCGAUAACGAACGAGACCUUAGCUUUUAUUUGCGCAAGCUAACCUUAUGUUGGUUUUGGGCUAUAAAAGGACUAUCGAAUUCAAGUCGAUGGAAGUUUGAGGCAAUAACAGGUCUGUGAUGCCCUUAGACGUUCUGGGCCGCACGCGCGCUACACUGACGGAGCCAGCGAGUUUACCUUAGCCGAGAGGUUUGGGAAAUCUUGAGAAACUCCGUCGUGCUGGGGAUAGAGCAUUGUAAUUUUUGCUCUUCAACGAGGAAUUCCUAGUAAGCGCAAGUCAUCAGCUUGCGUUGAUUACGUCCCUGCCCUUUGUACACACCGCCCGUCGCUACUACCGAUUGAAUGGCUUAGUGAGGCCUCUGGAUUAAGUUUGGGAGUGGGGCAACCCAUUGCUAAGCUGAGAAACUGGUCAAACUUGGUCAUUUAGAGGAAGUAAAAGUCGUAACAAGGUUUCCGUAGGUGAACCUGCGGAAGGAUCAUUAAAAAUAAUUUAUACAACACUUUUAGGAGAAAAAACAUAAUAUUAAAUUUCAAUAAAAAGUUUAAAAAAAAAACUUUCAACAACGGAUCUCUUGGUUCUCGCAUCGAUGAAGAACGCAGCGAAUUGCGAUACGUAAUAUGACUUGCAGACGUGAAUCAUUGAAUUUUUGAACGCACAUUGCGCCUUAAGGUAUUCCUCAAGGCAUGCGUGGAUGAGCGAUAUUUACUCUCAAACCUUUGGUUUGGUUUUGUAAUCCUAAAUAUCAACGGUAUCUAGAAUAAGUUUUAGAACCACCUUACUUACUUCCUCAUCUUCGUAAGACUACCCGCUGAACUUAAGCAUAUCAAUAAGCGGAGGAAAAGAAACCAACAGGGAUUGCCUCAGUAACGGCGAGUGAAGCGGCAAAAGCUCAAAUUUGAAAUCCUUCGGGAAUUGUAUUUUGAAGGUGGGUUUGGUUAGGAAAAGUUACUUUAAGUCCAUUGGAAAAUGGCGCCAUGGAGGGUGAUAGCCCCGUAAAAGUAUCCCUUUUCCUUUUAUCCAUUCCCUCCAAAGAGUCGAGUUGUUUGGGAAUGCAGCUCUAAGUGGGUGGUAAAUUCCAUCUAAAGCUAAAUAUUGGCGAGAGACCGAUAGCGAACAAGUACAGUGAUGGAAAGAUGAAAAGCACUUUGAAAAGAGAGUGAAAAAGUACGUGAAAUUGUUGAAAGGGAAGGGCUUGCAAGCAGACACAACCUCGGUUGGGCCAGCAUCGGAGUGGGGGGAGACAAAAAAGAAAAGGAAUGUAACUCUUUCGAGUAUUAUAGCCUUUUUCUCAUAUCUCCACCCCCUUCCGAGGCCUGCGAUUCUUCAAGGAUGCUGGCGUAAUGGUUGCAAGUCGCCCGUCUUGAAACACGGACCAAGGAGUCUAACGUCUAUGCGAGUGUUUGAGUACUAAACCCAAACGCGCAAUGAAAGUAAUAGGAGCGAACCUCACGGUGCAGCUCCGACCACAUUAAGGCCUAAACCAUAAUGUGAGUAAGCAUGGCUGUUGGGACCCGAAAGAUGGUGAACUAUACCUGGAUAGGGUGAAGCCAGAGGAAACUCUGGUGGAGGCUCGUAGCGGUUCUGACGUGCAAAUCGAUCGUCGAAUCUGGGUAUAGGGGCGAAAGACUAAUCGAACCAUCUAGUAGCUGGUUCCUGCCGAAGUUUCCCUCAGGAUAGCAGAAGCUCGUUACAAACAGUUUUAUGAGGUAAAGCGAAUGAUUAGACGUCUCGGGGCGAAAUAGCCUUAGCGUAUUCUCAAACUUUAAAUAUGUAAGAAGCCUUCCUUUUUUAAUUAAAGGUAGGCAUGAAUGUAGAGCUUUUAGUGGGCCAUUUUUGGUAAGCAGAACUGGCGAUGCGGGAUGAACCGAACGUGAAGUUAAAGUGCCAGAAUACACGCUCAUCAGACACCACAAAAGGUGUUAGUUCAUCUAGACAGCCGGACGGUGGCCAUGGAAGUCGGAAUCCGCUAAGGAGUGUGUAACAACUCACCGGCCGAAUGAACUAGCCCUGAAAAUGGAUGGCGCUUAAGCGUGUUACUUAUACUUCGCCCUAAACCAAUAGGUUUAGGAGUAGGCAGGCGUGGAGGUAGUGACGAAGCCUUGGAUGUGAAUCUGGGUCGAACUUCCUCUAGUGCAGAUCUUGGUGGUAGUAGCAAAUAUUCAAAUGAGAACUUUGAAGACUGAAGUGGGGAAAGGUUCCAUGUCAACAGCAGAUGAACAUGGGUUAGUCGAUCCUAACCUCUAAGUUAAACCUGAUUUAACUCCUCUAUUUCUAGAGGGUUGAGGGAAAGGGAAUUUGGUUAAUAUUCCAAAACUUGGAUAUGGAGUUUCACGGUAACGUAACUGAAUGUGGAGACGUCGGCGUGGGCCCUGGAAGAAGUUUUCUUUUUCUUCUAACAGCUUAUGACCCUGGAUGGAUUAACCAGAGAUGGGGUUUUAUGGCUGGAAGAGCAACCCUUUAUGGGUUGUCCGGUGCGCCUACGACGGUCCUUGAAAAUCCACAGGAAGGAUUUACUUUCAUGCCAAGUCGUACUGAUAACCGCAGCAGGUCUCCAAGGUUAACAGCCUCUAGUUGAUAGAAUAAUGUAGAUAAGGGAAGUCGGCAAAAUAGAUCCGUAACUUCGGGAUAAGGAUUGGCUCUAAGGGUUGGAGGGAUUCGGGUGUUUUGGCUAAGGUGGAAAGGAUUUUAGGGCCUGGGGCUUUUCGGAGCUCUGGGCCUUUUAGUCCUCUCUACCCCACCCUUUUCACCCUCCCCUCACUAACAACCAUCUUAGAACUGGUACGGACAAGGGGAAU